AGGACGAACGCUGGCGGCGUGCUUAACACAUGCAAGUCGAGCGAGGCCCCUCCUUCGGGAGGGUGUCCUAGCGGCGAACGGGUGAGUAACACGUGGGCAACCUGCCCUCAGCUCUGGGAUAACCCCGGGAAACCGGGGCUAAUACCGGAUACGACCUCCACGGGCAUCUGCGGAGGUGGAAAGGUUUUCCGGCUGAGGAUGGGCCCGCGGCCUAUCAGCUAGUUGGUGGGGUGAUGGCCCACCAAGGCGACGACGGGUA
Molecule: ribosomal RNA, 259 nt
Filed under: uncultured bacterium
Lineage: Bacteria
Description: partial small subunit ribosomal RNA
Rfam family: Bacterial small subunit ribosomal RNA
Source: RNAcentral